UUAUUUCUAGUUUAUUGUAAGAAUGCUGGCUUGUCGUGUCAGAGGGGUAAGGUUUUACGAAAUAAG
RNAcentral lists this transfer RNA (66 nucleotides) under Hypoderaeum sp. Hubei-2014. RNAcentral's name for it is "tRNA-Asp". The record is from RNAcentral. Lineage: Eukaryota; Metazoa; Platyhelminthes; Trematoda; Plagiorchiida; Echinostomatidae.